UACGAAGGGGGCUAGCGUUGUUCGGAAUCACUGGGCGUAAAGCGCACGUAGGCGGAUUGUUAAGUCAGGGGUGAAAUGCCAAGGCUCAACCUUGGAACUGCCUUUGAUACUGGCAAUCUCGAGUCCGGGAGAGGUGAGUGGAACUGCGAGUGUAGAGGUGAAAUUCGUAGAUAUUCGGAGGAACACCAGUGGCGAAGGCGACUUACUGGACACAUAUUGACGCUGAGGUGCGAAAGCGUGGGGAGCAAACAGG
This 253-nucleotide ribosomal RNA is filed under the name uncultured bacterium. RNAcentral's name for it is "partial 16S ribosomal RNA". It matches the Rfam family "Bacterial small subunit ribosomal RNA", at positions 524 to 776 of the family's 1533-position model. The record is from RNAcentral.